Molecule: ribosomal RNA, 466 nt
Filed under: uncultured bacterium
Lineage: Bacteria
Description: partial 16S ribosomal RNA
Rfam family: Bacterial small subunit ribosomal RNA
Source: RNAcentral
GACGAACGCUGGCGGCGCGCCUAACACAUGCAAGUCGAACGAGCGAGCGAGAGCUUGCUUUCUUGAGCGAGUGGCGAACGGGUGAGUAACGCGUGAGGAACCUGCCUCAAAGAGGGGGACAACAGUUGGAAACGACUGCUAUUACCGCAUAAGCCCACGGUGCCGCAUGGCACAGAGGGAAAAGGAGCAAUCCGCUUUGAGAUGGCCUCGCGUCCGAUUAGCUAGUUGGUGAGGUAACGGCCCACCAAGGCGACGAUCGGUAGCCGGACUGAGAGGUUGAACGGCCACAUUGGGACUGAGACACGGCCCAGACUCCUACGGGAGGCAGCAGUGGGGAAUAUUGCACAAUGGGGGAAACCCUGAUGCAGCGACGCCGCGUGGAGGAAGAAGGUCUUCGGAUUGUAAACUCCUGUUGUUGGGGAAGAUAAUGACGGUACCCAACAAGGAAGUGACGGCUAACUACGUG